RNAcentral lists this unclassified non-coding RNA (393 nucleotides) under Hevea brasiliensis (rubber tree). The record is from RNAcentral. Lineage: Eukaryota; Viridiplantae; Streptophyta; Magnoliopsida; Malpighiales; Euphorbiaceae.
CUACAUAAUUUUUUUGGUGCUGAAAAUAGUGAACGCACUACUUCAUUAACUUGUUUCUAGUUACCUAUUUUCUUUUUUGAAAUUGAUUUUUUUGAGAAAUUUAUCACUAUUGUUUGGAAACAUUUUAGUGUUUCUGCUUCCUGAUCGGGAUAUGAAGUUAACCAUGAUUCAUUAACAUGAAUUAGUAAGACAAAAGUUCUAAGCGCUUGAGAUCCUGGGCCUGAAGUGAACAUGUCUGCAUGCUAUCUCUCAAUACAAUGUGAACACUAAUUGUUUCGGGGCCCAUAUUAAAUUUUUUUCAUCUCUUUGUUAAUGUGAACACUCAUCUUUCUCAUUGUGAAAAGGAAAAGGAAGAGUAAAGGAAUAUUAUUUUCUUGUCUUCUGAUUUCUCAG